AAUUAGAGAUUACAUUCACAUUUUCGAAAAGGAAAAAAGAAAAAGUAGAAACUCCACACCGAUCGGUAAUAAUUUCUUGUUAAAGAUGGUUACAUAUUAUAGUAGGUAAAAUACACAAUUUUUUUGGAAAAAGAUGGUUGGUUAUAUUAGAAGAAAACGUACAACUGUAGCGAUACACAUUUUAAGGUUACAUGUUUUCAAAAGAGUUUGUUUCGUAGUCGUAGUCGUAGUCGUAGUCGUAGUCCUCGUCCUCACACAACCCAAAGUCAUAUAGCCGCACCCCCAAUGUUGCACCGGGAAAUCGCCAAACAAGGACCAAAUGAAAUGUAAAAACAAAAAAGACCAAGCGGUCAUGUAAGUUAGUGUGAAAAAAAUGAUUCCUUACAAUGACAGACGACUAGUCUGUUUGUGGACAAAGCGAGAUCAGAUCAAAGUCUUUUCCUUCAGACCAAGAGGACCAGAGAAUAUUUAAUACCAAUUUCUCGUAAAAAUGUGGCCACUAAAGCAAGAACUGUCAAAUAUCAAUAGGCCAUGGGAUAUUUUACCCAAACAAAGCCAUCAUCAUUCUCAGAGGAAAAAAAUCUAAAAAUCU
Molecule: non-coding RNA, 592 nt
Organism: Camelina sativa (false flax)
Lineage: Eukaryota; Viridiplantae; Streptophyta; Magnoliopsida; Brassicales; Brassicaceae
Source: RefSeq, a predicted model, not a curated record